Molecule: long non-coding RNA, 502 nt
Filed under: Prunus dulcis (almond)
Lineage: Eukaryota; Viridiplantae; Streptophyta; Magnoliopsida; Rosales; Rosaceae
Description: sRNA ncRNA
Source: RNAcentral
AUUCUGUCUACAUUUAUACGGCUUACACUAAACUUUAUUUGUUUCUUUCUGUUUUGUCCUGACUUAUCUUCCCUCUCCACCGACUUUCUGCUCCAAGUCUCUCUUAUUUUCAAAAACUAAAAACUCGCUCACUCUUCCACUCUCUCAGCUGCCACAAACACAAGCCCCACUACGAAAAGGAAGAUGAAUAUGUACGCAUGGAGAGCAGUCUCAUGCCUCCCAAGUACAUCGCGCUCUGGGUAUGAACUGGAGCCCACCUCCUCGCCAAUUGGUAUUCUAUCUUUUCAGUUUUGGAUAUGUAUUUUGUUGUUGAGUGAAUUAUUUGGUUUGGGUUGGAAUUUAGGUAGUGGGUUUUGAAAUUUGAUCAAGUAUUUGAUGAAUUUCAAAUACUUGAUUUUGAACUUAGGUUGAAUUUCUGGAUAUGAGCUAUGUCAAUUUCUUUGAUGGAAAUUGGGGGAGUAGGAGAGAAGAGAGGGCUGGCUGCACCUGCGUGUACUGCGAU